CCUCUUUGAAGAUGAAAACAAUUCAACAACCUUCUUCUCCAUGCCUUUCAGAAUGAAUUUCUUCUUCUCCCGGAUUUUUCUUUCAAUUCUUGGCUGAAGUUUCAAGCUGUGAUCACUCCAGGAUUGCAGGAAUGAGUUUGCCCUUCUCUUCUGCUCUUGGAUCAUGUGAGGACACAGAGUUCCUUUCCCUGAAAAUGCACCAACGAGGCACCACCUUGGAAGUGGAGACCAGGCCCUUAACAGACACCAAACCUAUAGGAAUCUUGAUGUUGGAUCUCCCAGCCUCCAAAACUGUGAGAAAUAGAUUUAUGUUCUUUAUAAAUCACCCAGUCUGUGGUGCUCUAUUAUAGCAGCACAAAACAGACUAAGAUAGCAGGUACAUACGGACAAACGGUAUAUGAUUGUACACAGGUGAACAUGUACUUAAACAGAAUAUGGUAGUGCACAAGCAAACACAUGCAUAAACAGUACGUAGUCACACACAGGCUAAUGCAUACAUAGGCCAGAUCAUUUCCCACAUUGGCAGUACUAUGAAGGGGAUGAAGAUGGGCUCAGAGGAUCGGGAGUGGAUAGAGGUCCAGGGCAGUAAGAGCCACUGUAGAUGAGGUGGUCAGGGAAGGUGUCCCUGAAAAGAUUCCACCUGAACUGACACCAAAGGGCAGGGGUGGGCAGCGAUGAAAAGGGCCCCUCUCUCAGGCAGGGAGCAGCAAAUUCAUUAUCAUUGAGGCAGGACGCAGCUUAGCAUUGCUCAGGACAAUAUGAUCAGUGUGGCUGGAGAUCAGUGCACUUUCGGAGGUGACAUGGAUUGAGGUUAGGAAGACUAGCAGGUGUUGACUCCUCCAGGUCUUAAUUUAUAAGGGUAGCAGAUCUGAUAGGCUACUUGUGAUGUGGUGAGCGCCCCAUCAACUGGGCAAUGGAAAGAGGGGCUGGGUGACCACUGAUCAGCAAUGUCGGAAGUGGGAGAGAGUGAGGAAGAAAUUGAAGUGGAAUGCUUUAAAGCACUGUCCGUCUUUGACAUCAAGACACUCACUUUGCUGAGCUCAGAGACAUCUGAAGUUUAAUCACCUGCAGAUUUGAUUGAAUGUAUUUUGCCAAUAUUGAGGGACAGCCACCAUGAGGAGAAGUGCCAGUGCAGCUGCCAACUGAGGAGAGGCCAGGACCUCAGUACCAUGGAUACAGCAAAUGUGGACAGAGCCAGUGCCGUGGCUCAUUUAGAGCCAGAUGUGAAAGGCAGCUGGCUGUGCCUCCUUGCUUUGACUGCUGAAAACCAUAAAUAAAUACAUGUAAAAAGUUGGAUGUUAGCUCUGUCAUUAUUUUACAAUGAUGAUAGGACGUUAGAAUAUGAAUGCAGUUUGAAAGAUAGCACUGUCUUUGAUACAUCAAAAAGCCCUCUCCACUUGACUAGAACUUU
RNAcentral lists this long non-coding RNA (1411 nucleotides) under Homo sapiens (human). RNAcentral's name for it is "non-protein coding LINC01550:24". Lineage: Eukaryota; Metazoa; Chordata; Mammalia; Primates; Hominidae. The record is from RNAcentral.